This 375-nucleotide unclassified non-coding RNA is filed under the name uncultured bacterium. RNAcentral's name for it is "contains 16S-23S intergenic spacer region". The record is from RNAcentral.
UCCGGUUUGACACCGGCAGUCUCCUAUGAGUCCCCGACAUAACUCGCUGGCAACAUAGGAUAGGGGUUGCGCUCGUUGCGGGACUUAAGCCAACACCUCACGGCACGAGCUGACGACAGCCAUGCAGCACCUGUGCUAGCCCCUUGCGGACACCGGCUUUCACCGGCUUUAACUAGCAUGUCAAGCCUAGGUAAGGUUCUUCGCGUUGCAUCGAAUUAAACCACAUGCUCCACCGCUUGUGCGGGCCCCCGUCAAUUCCUUUGAGUUUCACCCUUGCGGGCGUACUCCCCAGGUGGAUUACUUAAUGCGUUAGCUGCGCCACCAAAGCUCUAUGAGCCCUGACAGCUAGUUAUCAUCGUUUACGGCGUGGACUAC